RNAcentral lists this ribosomal RNA (497 nucleotides) under uncultured bacterium. Its description in RNAcentral is "partial 16S ribosomal RNA". It matches the Rfam family "Bacterial small subunit ribosomal RNA", at positions 28 to 507 of the family's 1533-position model. The record is from RNAcentral.
GAUGAACGCUGGCGGCGUGCCUAAUACAUGCAAGUCGAGCGAACAGACGAGGAGCUUGCUCCUUCGACGUUAGCGGCGGACGGGUGAGUAACACGUAGGUAACCUACCUAUAAGACUGGGAUAACUUCGGGAAACCGGAGCUAAUACCGGAUAAUAUUUCGAACCGCAUGGUUCGAUAGUGAAAGAUGGCUUUGCUAUCACUUAUAGAUGGACCUGCGCCGUAUUAGCUAGUUGGUAAGGUAACGGCUUACCAAGGCAACUAUACGUAGCCGACCUGAGAGGGGGAUCGGCCACACUGGAACGGAGACACGGUCCAGACUCCUACGGGAGGCAGCAGUAGGGAAUCUUCCGCAAUGGGCGAAAGCCUGACGGAGCAACGCCGCGUGAGUGAUGAAGGUCUUCGGAUCGUAAAACUCUGUUAUUAGGGAAGAACAAACGUGUAAGUAACGGUGCACGUCUUGACGGUACCUAAUCAGAAAGCCACGGCUAACUACGUG